AAAUCACCCACAUACACCUCAAAGCAAGAGCUGUGUGGAUUUUGGGUGAAAUUUAUGUUUCUUGGUAGAUGAAUUGCUGAAACAGAGAACUUUGCUUUGGUUCAAUGUUUCUCUCACUUAGUUUGCAGCAGGAGCAAUACUGCCAUUGGAAUUUGAGGGCAGCUGAAAUUCAAGAUCACCUUUCUCUUCCUUCCGUGCUUCUAUCUCUUCAAAAGCCUUCAAUUUCAUCUCCUUGUCUUUCCCCCACAGAACAGCAUAAAGGCCAGCAACAAUCAUGGCAGAUCCUACAGCAGUUCCAACGUAUAAUUUCUCA
This 313-nucleotide unclassified non-coding RNA is filed under the name Hevea brasiliensis (rubber tree). The record is from RNAcentral. Lineage: Eukaryota; Viridiplantae; Streptophyta; Magnoliopsida; Malpighiales; Euphorbiaceae.